GACGAACGCUGGCGGCGUGCCUAACACAUGCAAGUCGAACGGAACUGUUUUGAAAGAUUUCUUCGGAAUGAAUUUGAUUUAGUUUAGUGGCGGACGGGUGAGUAACGCGUGAGUAACCUGCCUUCAAGAGGGGGAUAACAUUCUGAAAAGAAUGCUAAUACCGCAUGACAUAUCGGAAUCACAUGAUUUUGAUAUCAAAGAUUUUAUCGCUUGAAGAUGGACUCGCGUCCGAUUAGUUAGUUGGUGAGGUAACGGCUCACCAAGACCGCGAUCGGUAGCCGGACUGAGAGGUUGAACGGCCACAUUGGGACUGAGACACGGCCCAGACUCCUACGGGAGGCAGCAGUGGGGGAUAUUGCGCAAUGGGGGCAACCCUGACGCAGCAACGCCGCGUGAAGGAUGAAGGUUUUCGGAUUGUAAACUUCUUUUAUUAAGGACGAAAAAUGACGGUA
RNAcentral lists this ribosomal RNA (452 nucleotides) under uncultured bacterium. Its description in RNAcentral is "bacterial SSU rRNA". It matches the Rfam family "Bacterial small subunit ribosomal RNA", at positions 28 to 477 of the family's 1533-position model. The record is from RNAcentral.